AGCCGCUGAUGACAAACUAAAACACUUUUCUGACACCUCGUAUGAGAGCUGUGAAGCUCCUGAUUCUAACGCUGGUCUGAGGCUC
Non-coding RNA from Xyrichtys novacula (pearly razorfish), 85 nucleotides. The record is from the annotation of a GenBank genome assembly. Lineage: Eukaryota; Metazoa; Chordata; Actinopteri; Labriformes; Labridae.